AUGGAAGCUGUUACCAUCAACUUCAUCCCUUUAGAGCCCUCUUGGACAUGUUUUAAGGUCCCAAGAUUGAGCAAAAGAUCUGUUUUCAUCUCUAAUCAUAACAAUAACCAGCUUUGCCUCGUUGAACCGGGAGAAGGUAAGUUACUGUCUUCUCUUUCCGGGGAAGUAAAUGGGAGGCUUGGAGAGGUGAUUCCCCCAGCUCUGUGUGGAGCCCCGGAGGCAGGCAGGACUGCAGACCGAAGCACAGCAUUGCAGCGUCGCGGGAUUCACAGACUGGUCAGCGCAGUGGUGCACCAUCACACAGAUCCUCAGUGGCAGGAUUCACAGACUGGUCAGGGCAAUGGUGCACCAUCACACAGAUCCUCAGUGGCAGGAUUCACAGACUGGUCAGCUCAGUGGUGCACCAUCACACAGAUCCUCAGUGGCAGGAUUCACAGACUGGUCAGCUCAGUGGUGCACCAUCACACAGAUCCUCAGUGGCAGGAUUCACAGACUGGUCAGCUCAGUGGUGCACCAUCACACAGAUCCUCAGUGGCAGGAUUCACAGACUGGUCAGCUCAGUGGUGCACCAUCACACAGAUCCUCAGUGGCAGGAUUCACAGACUGGUCAGCUCAGUGGUGCACCAUCACACAGAUCCUCAGUGGCAGGAUUCACAGACUGGUCAGCUCAGUGGUGCACCAUCACACAGAUCCUCAGUGGCAGGAUUCACAGACUGGUCAGCUCAGUGGUGCAUCAUCACACAGAUCCUCAGUGGCAGGAUUCACAGACUGGUCAGCUCAGUGGUGCACCAUCACACAGAUCCUCAGUGGCAGGAUUCACAGACUGGUCAGCUCAGUGGUGCACCAUCACACAGAUCCUCAGUGGCAGGAUUCACAGACUGGUCAGCUCAGUGGUGCACCAUCACACAGAUCCUCAGUGGCAGGAUUCACAGACUGGUCACCUCAGUGGUGCACCAUCACACAGAUCCUCAGUGGCAGGAUUCACAGACUGGUCAGCUCAGUGGUGCACCAUCACACAGAUCCUCAGUGGCAGGAUUCACAGACUGGUCAGCCCAAUGGUGCACCAUCACACAGAUCCUCAGUGGCAGGGUUCACAGACUGGUCAGCCCAGUGGUGCACCAUCACACAGAUCCUCAGUGGCAGGAUUCACAGACUGGUCAGCUCAGUGGUGCACCAUCACACAGAUCCUCAGUGGCAGGGUUCACAGACUGGUCAGCCCAGUGGUGCACCAUCACACAGAUCCUCAGUGGCAGGGUUCACAGACUGGUCAGCCCAAUGGUGCACCAUCACACAGAUCCUCAGUGGCAGGAUUCACAGACUGGUCACCUCAGUCGUGCACCAUCACACAGAUCCUCAGUGGCAGUAAAUGGUCGACACUGCUGA
RNAcentral lists this long non-coding RNA (1383 nucleotides) under Callithrix jacchus (white-tufted-ear marmoset). Its description in RNAcentral is "lncRNA (ENSCJAG00000081615.1)". The record is from RNAcentral. Lineage: Eukaryota; Metazoa; Chordata; Mammalia; Primates; Cebidae.